UCCAGAUAUGAGGUUUCAAAGGUUGCUAGG
Molecule: non-coding RNA, 30 nt
Filed under: Rattus norvegicus (Norway rat)
Lineage: Eukaryota; Metazoa; Chordata; Mammalia; Rodentia; Muridae
Source: RNAcentral